This 435-nucleotide ribosomal RNA is filed under the name uncultured bacterium. RNAcentral describes it as "partial 16S ribosomal RNA". It matches the Rfam family "Bacterial small subunit ribosomal RNA", at positions 28 to 507 of the family's 1533-position model. The record is from RNAcentral.
GAUGAACGCUGGCGGUAUGCUUAACACAUGCAAGUCGAACGGACUCUUCGGAGUUAGUGGCGGACGGGUGAGUAACGCGUGAGAAUCUGGCUUUGGGUUCGGGACAACCACUGGAAACGGUGGCUAAUACCGGAUGUGCCGAGAGGUAAAAGAGAAAUUGCCUGAAGAUGAGCUCGCGUCUGAUUAGCUAGUUGGUGAGGUAAAGGCUCACCAAGGCAGCGAUCAGUAGCUGGUCUGAGAGGAUGACCAGCCACACUGGGACUGAGACACGGCCCAGACUCCUACGGGAGGCAGCAGUGGAGAAUUUUCCGCAAUGGGCGAAAGGCUGACGGAGCAAUACCGCGUGAGGGAAGAAGGCUCUUGGGUUGUAAACCUCUUUUCUUAGGGAAGAACAAAAUGACGGUACCUAAGGAAUCAGCAUCGGCUAACUCCGUG